Molecule: ribosomal RNA, 1451 nt
Filed under: Klebsiella aerogenes
Lineage: Bacteria; Pseudomonadati; Pseudomonadota; Gammaproteobacteria; Enterobacterales; Enterobacteriaceae
Description: bacterial SSU rRNA
Rfam family: Bacterial small subunit ribosomal RNA
Source: RNAcentral
AACGCUGGCGGCAGGCCUAACACAUGCAAGUCGAGCGGUAGCACAGAGAGCUUGCUCUCGGGUGACGAGCGGCGGACGGGUGAGUAAUGUCUGGGAAACUGCCUGAUGGAGGGGGAUAACUACUGGAAACGGUAGCUAAUACCGCAUAACGUCGCAAGACCAAAGUGGGGGACCUUCGGGCCUCAUGCCAUCAGAUGUGCCCAGAUGGGAUUAGCUAGUAGGUGGGGUAAUGGCUCACCUAGGCGACGAUCCCUAGCUGGUCUGAGAGGAUGACCAGCCACACUGGAACUGAGACACGGUCCAGACUCCUACGGGAGGCAGCAGUGGGGAAUAUUGCACAAUGGGCGCAAGCCUGAUGCAGCCAUGCCGCGUGUAUGAAGAAGGCCUUCGGGUUGUAAAGUACUUUCAGCGAGGAGGAAGGCGUUAAGGUUAAUAACCUUGGCGAUUGACGUUACUCGCAGAAGAAGCACCGGCUAACUCCGUGCCAGCAGCCGCGGUAAUACGGAGGGUGCAAGCGUUAAUCGGAAAAACUGGGCGUAAAGCGCACGCAGGCGGUCUGUCAAGUCGGAUGUCAAAUCCCCGGGCUCAACCUGGGAACUGCAUUCGAAACUGGCAGGCUAGAGUCUUGUAGAGGGGGGUAGAAUUCCAGGUGUAGCGGUGAAAUGCGUAGAGAUCUGGAGGAAUACCGGUGGCGAAGGCGGCCCCCUGGACAAAGAGUGACGCUCAGGUGCGAAAGCGUGGGGAGCAAACAGGAUUAGAUACCCUGGUAGUCCACGCCGUAAACGAUGUCGACUUGGAGGUUGUGCCCUUGAGGCGUGGCUUCCGGAGCUAACGCGUUAAGUCGACCGCCUGGGGAGUACGGCCGGAAGGAAAAAACUCAAAUGAAUUGACGGGGGCCCGCACAAGCGGUGGAGCAUGUGGUUUAAUUCGAUGCAACGCGAAGAACCUUACCUACUCUUGACAUCCAGAGAACUUAGCAGAGAUGCUUUGGUGCCUUCGGGAACUCUGAGACAGGUGCUGCAUGGCUGUCGUCAGCUCGUGUUGUGAAAUGUUGGGUUAAGUCCCGCAACGAGCGCAACCCUUAUCCUUUGUUGCCAGCGGUCCGGCCGGGAACUCAAAGGAGACUGCCAGUGAUAAACUGGAGGAAGGUGGGGAUGACGUCAAGUCAUCAUGGCCCUUACGAGUAGGGCUACACACGUGCUACAAUGGCAUAUACAAAGAGAAGCGACCUCGCGAGAGCAAGCGGACCUCAUAAAGUAUGUCGUAGUCCGGAUUGGAGUCUGCAACUCGACUCCAUGAAGUCGGAAUCGCUAGUAAUCGUAGAUCAGAAUGCUACGGUGAAUACGUUCCCGGGCCUUGUACACACCGCCCGUCACACCAUGGGAGUGGGUUGCAAAAGAAGUAGGUAGCUUAACCUUCGGGAGGGCGCUUACCACUUUGUGAUUCAUGAC